Molecule: ribosomal RNA, 180 nt
Filed under: uncultured bacterium
Lineage: Bacteria
Description: partial 16S ribosomal RNA
Rfam family: Bacterial small subunit ribosomal RNA
Source: RNAcentral
CCUACGGGAGGCAGCAGUGAGGAAUAUUGGUCAAUGGGCGAGAGCCUGAACCAGCCAAGUAGCGUGCAGGAUGACGGCCCUAUGGGUUGUAAACUGCUUUUAUAAGGGAAUAAAGUGAGUCUCGUGAGACUUUUUGCAUGUACCUUUAUGAAUAAGGACCGGCUAAUUCCGUGCCAGCAG